UACGGAGGGUGCGAGCGUUAAUCGGAAUUACUGGGCGUAAAGGGUGCGCGGGUGGUUUAAUAAGUUAGGUGUGAAAUACCUGGGCUUAACCUAGGGAGGUCAGCUAAGACUGUUAGACUAGAGUAUAGGAGAGGGUAGCGGAAUUCCCGGUGUAGUGGUGAAAUGCGUAGAUAUCGGGAGGAACACCAGUGGCGAAGGCGGCUUCCUGGCCUGUUCUUGACGCUGAGGCGCGAAAGCUAGGGGAGCAAACGGG
This 253-nucleotide ribosomal RNA is filed under the name uncultured bacterium. RNAcentral's name for it is "partial 16S ribosomal RNA". It matches the Rfam family "Bacterial small subunit ribosomal RNA", at positions 524 to 776 of the family's 1533-position model. The record is from RNAcentral.